GGAAGGUAAGCGAAUGGCUAGCGGCCUCAUUGGAAAUGAGGUGCAUCGAAAGGUGUUGCGGGUUCGACUCCCGUGCCUUCCG
Molecule: transfer RNA, 82 nt
Filed under: Planctomycetaceae bacterium
Lineage: Bacteria; Pseudomonadati; Planctomycetota; Planctomycetia; Planctomycetales; Planctomycetaceae
Description: tRNA-Ser
Rfam family: tRNA
About the family: Transfer RNA (tRNA) molecules are approximately 80 nucleotides in length. Their secondary structure includes four short double-helical elements and three loops (D, anti-codon, and T loops).
Source: RNAcentral